RNAcentral lists this ribosomal RNA (1315 nucleotides) under cf. Pseudicyema truncatum EM-2019. RNAcentral's name for it is "SSU rRNA". It matches the Rfam family "Eukaryotic small subunit ribosomal RNA", at positions 275 to 1690 of the family's 1831-position model. Lineage: Eukaryota; Metazoa; Dicyemida; Rhombozoa; Dicyemidae. The record is from RNAcentral.
GGCAGUGCCGGUGACAUAUCAAUUAGAUGUCCGCCCCAUCAAUUGUUGACGGUAAGGUAGUGGCUUACCGUGGUUACAACGGGUAACGGGGAAUCAGGGUUCGAUUCCGGAGAGGGAGCAUGAGAAAUGGCUGCCAGAUCUAUGGAUUGCAGCAGGUGCGAAAAUUAUCCACUUUUGGCAUAAAGAGAUAGUGAUGAUAAAUAACGGAUCUGGGCAUUUGUUCAGAGAUCGUAAUGAAAUAAUCGUAAAAGCUUUAAUGAACGCAAUUGGAGGGCAAGUCUGGUGCCAGCAGCCGCGGCAAUUCCAGUUCCAAUAGUGUAUACUAAAGUUGCUGCAGUUGAAAAGCUCGUAGUUGGAUCUCGGCUUGCUAGCGCGCGAGGCGUGUGAGUAGGCCUUUGCUGUAGUUGAGUGCUACGGCUUUACCUUGAACAAAAUAGAGUGCUUAAGGCAAGCAUUCUGCUUGAAUAUCUCAGCAUGGAAUAAUAGAAAAAGACUUUUCUGUUGGUUUACCAGUAGUAAAAGUAAUGAUUAACAGAGACAGACGGGGGCAUUCGUAUCGCACCGCUAGAGGUGAAAUUCGUAGAUCGGUGCGGGACGAACUACAGCGAAAGCAUUUGCCAAGGAUGUUUUCAUUAAUCAAGAACGAAAGUUGGAGUAUCGAAGUCGAUUAGAUCUCGUCGUAGUUCCAACUAUAAACGAUGCCAACUAGCACUCCGCUAAUAAGUAUUAGUACGUUAGCGGGUUGCUUCCGGGAAACCAAAGUCUUUGGGCUCCGGGGGAAGUAUGGUUGCAAAGCUGAAACUUAAAGGAAUUGACGGAAGGGCACCACCAGGAGUGGAGCCUGCGGCUCAAUUUGACUCAACACAGAAAAACUCACCCGGGCCGAACACAGUAAGGAUUGACAGACUGAUAGCUUUUUCUUGAUACUGUGGGUAGUGGUGCAUGGCCGUUGUUGGUUGGUGGAGUGAUCUGUCUGGUUAAUUCCGAUAACGAACGAGACUCAGGCCUACUUACUAGUUGUUCGAUUGCUGGUCGAUCAACUUCUUAGAGGGAUCAGUGUUUAAAACACUUGAAAAUGAGCAAUAACAGGUCUGUGAUUGCCCUUAGACGUUCGGGGCUGCACGCGCGCUACAAUGGAGAAAGCAGUGGGUGUCUUGCUUGGCAAAGCAAGCUGAGCCUUAAAAUUUCUUCGUGACAGGGAUCGAGGCUUGUAAUUAUUCCUCGUGCACAAGGAAUUCCUAGUAAUCGCAGGUCAUUAGCCUGCAAUGAUUACGUCCCUGCCCUUUGUACACACCGCCCGUCGCUACUACCGAUG